GCCUCGCAUCCAGAGCUGGGCUGACGCCCACGCCAACCUGCCUUCCCGGGCAAGGUGGUGGCCUCUCGCAAGAGGGGCGAUGCGGCCGGACCGGCAACCAAACGGGUCGAA
Molecule: non-coding RNA, 111 nt
Filed under: Inquilinus limosus
Lineage: Bacteria; Pseudomonadati; Pseudomonadota; Alphaproteobacteria; Rhodospirillales; Rhodospirillaceae
Description: SAM-I-IV sequence
Rfam family: SAM-I/IV (S-adenosyl methionine) riboswitch aptamer
About the family: It is found upstream of a number of genes which code for proteins involved in methionine or cysteine biosynthesis. It has been found mostly in the order Actinomycetales.
Source: Rfam by way of RNAcentral